This 619-nucleotide ribosomal RNA is filed under the name uncultured bacterium. Its description in RNAcentral is "bacterial SSU rRNA". It matches the Rfam family "Bacterial small subunit ribosomal RNA", at positions 338 to 950 of the family's 1533-position model. The record is from RNAcentral.
CCUACGGGAGGCAGCAGUGGGGAAUUUUGGACAAUGGGCGCAAGCCUGAUCCAGCAAUGCCGCGUGAGUGAAGAAGGCCUUCGGGUUGUAAAGCUCUUUUGUCAGGGAAGAAACGGCUGAGGUUAAUACCUUUGGCUAAUGACGGUACCUGAAGAAUAAGCACCGGCUAACUACGUGCCAGCAGCCGCGGUAAUACGUAGGGUGCAAGCGUUAAUCGGAAUUACUGGGCGUAAAGCGUGCGCAGGCGGUUUUGUAAGUCUGACGUGAAAUCCCCGGGCUCAACCUGGGAAUUGCGUUGGAGACUGCAAGGCUGGAGUCUGGCAGAGGGGGGUAGAAUUCCACGUGUAGCAGUGAAAUGCGUAGAGAUGUGGAGGAACACCGAUGGCGAAGGCAGCCCCCUGGGUCAAGACUGACGCUCAUGCACGAAAGCGUGGGGAGCAAACAGGAUUAGAUACCCUGGUAGUCCACGCCCUAAACGAUGUCUACUAGUUGUCGGGUCUUAAUUGACUUGGUAACGCAGCUAACGCGUGAAGUAGACCGCCUGGGGAGUACGGUCGCAAGAUUAAAACUCAAAGGAAUUGACGGCUGAGAGCGACGACGACGACGACGGAGGAGGAGG